This 497-nucleotide ribosomal RNA is filed under the name uncultured bacterium. RNAcentral describes it as "partial 16S ribosomal RNA". It matches the Rfam family "Bacterial small subunit ribosomal RNA", at positions 28 to 507 of the family's 1533-position model. The record is from RNAcentral.
GAGGAAAGAGGGAGGUGUGAUUAAUACAUGCAAGCCGAGCGAACGGACGAGAAGCUUGCUUCUCUGAUGUUAGCGGCGGACGGGUGAGUAACACGUGGAUAACCUACCUAUAAGACUGGGAUAACUUCGGGAAACCGGAGCUAAUACCGGAUAAUAUUUUGAACCGCAUGGUUCAAAAGUGAAAGACGGUCUUGCUGUCACUUAUAGAUGGAUCCGCGCUGCAUUAGCUAGUUGGUAAGGUAACGGCUUACCAAGGCAACGAUGCAUAGCCGACCUGAGAGGGUGAUCGGCCACACUGGAACUGAGACACGGUCCAGACUCCUACGGGAGGCAGCAGUAGGGAAUCUUCCGCAAUGGGCGAAAGCCUGACGGAGCAACGCCGCGUGAGUGAUGAAGGUCUUCGGAUCGUAAAACUCUGUUAUUAGGGAAGAACAUAUGUGUAAGUAACUGUGCACAUCUUGACGGUACCUAAUCAGAAAGCCACGGCUAACUACGUG